GACGAACGCUGGCGGCGUGCUUAACACAUGCAAGUCGAACGGAAAGGCCCUGCUUUUGUGGGGUGCUCGAGUGGCGAACGGGUGAGUAACACGUGAGUAACCUGCCCUUGACUUUGGGAUAACUUCAGGAAACUGGGGCUAAUACCGGAUAGGAGCUCCUGCUGCAUGGUGGGGGUUGGAAAGUUUCGGCUGUUGGGGAUGGACUCGCGGCUUAUCAGCUUGUUGGUGGGGUAGUGGAUUACCAAGGCUUAGACGGGUAGGCGGCCUGGGAGGGUGGCCAGCGACAUGACGCCUACGGGAGGCAGCAGACUGGUAUAUUAGGCAGCAGGGGGAAACAUGGUACAGUGAGCGCGCGUGUGAUGAAGAAACGCUGGGUGCGUGAUGACCGCUUUUGGGUAGAGAACCGCAUCCGGUUGUUACGAAGCGUUUGUGACGGUAAUGGAAGAAGAAGCACCGGCUAACUACGUG
RNAcentral lists this ribosomal RNA (468 nucleotides) under uncultured bacterium. RNAcentral's name for it is "partial 16S ribosomal RNA". It matches the Rfam family "Bacterial small subunit ribosomal RNA", at positions 28 to 507 of the family's 1533-position model. The record is from RNAcentral.